RNAcentral lists this ribosomal RNA (253 nucleotides) under uncultured bacterium. RNAcentral describes it as "partial 16S ribosomal RNA". It matches the Rfam family "Bacterial small subunit ribosomal RNA", at positions 524 to 776 of the family's 1533-position model. The record is from RNAcentral.
UACAGAGGUCCCAAGCGUUGUUCGGAUUCACUGGGCGUAAAGGGUGCGUAGGCGGUCGGGUUAGUCUGAUGUGAAAUCUCACAGCUUAACUGUGAAACUGCAUUGGAUACUAUCCGGCUCGAGGAAUGGAGGGGAGACUGGAAUACUUGGUGUAGCAGUGAAAUGCGUAGAUAUCAAGUGGAACACCAGUGGCGAAGGCGAGUCUCUGGACAUUUCCUGACGCUGAGGCACGAAAGCCAGGGGAGCAAACGGG